GUAGUCUCGCACAGAUGCAUAUCAAUAAGCGGAGGAAAAGAAACUAACAAGGAUUCCCCUAGUAACGGCGAGUGAAGCGGGAAGAGCUCAAAUUUGAAAUCUUAAAGGGUUUCCCUUUACGAAUUGUAGUUUAAAGAAGUGUUUUCUGUCGAGGUUUUGGUAAAAGUUCUUUGGAAUAGGACAUCAUAGAGGGUGAGAAUCCCGUAUUUGACCUUUACUUUCAACUUUGUGAUACACUUUCAAAGAGUCGGAUUGUUUGGGAAUGCAGUCCAAAAUGGGUGGUAAAUUUCAUCUAAAGCUAAAUAUUGGCGAGAGACCGAUAGCGAACAAGUACCGUGAGGGAAAGAUGAAAGGAACUUUGAAAAGAGAGUUAAACAGUACGUGAAAUUGUCAAAAGGGAAGCGUUUGACACCAGUGUUGUUUUUCUGAAAAUCAAUUAAAGAACUGUUUAUGCUAAGCUGUUUAGACUUUAUCAGCUAAUCUGUUUAGUUUUGAGCUUUUCUUUAAUGCACUUUUCAGUUAACAAGUCAACAUCAAUUUCUUUUGCUGUAAAAAAGCUUGAGGAAGGUGGCUUGAGAUUCGUCUUAAGUGUUUAUAGCCUCUUGCCUAUGCAGUCGGAGAGAUUGAGGUCUGCAGCGUAGAUCCUUCGAGGCUAAAUGCAUUUGCGCUAAGUUAUAGCAUUUUAUAGACAACUUGUUGACUAUGAUUUGUCUUGUAGCUUACUCGCUUAUGUUAUUUUACCUACGCUUAGGAUGUUGAUCUGUAGUGCGUGCGC
This 775-nucleotide ribosomal RNA is filed under the name uncultured Neocallimastigales. RNAcentral describes it as "partial large subunit ribosomal RNA". It matches the Rfam family "Eukaryotic large subunit ribosomal RNA", at positions 24 to 647 of the family's 3401-position model. The record is from RNAcentral. Lineage: Eukaryota; Fungi; Neocallimastigomycota; Neocallimastigomycetes; Neocallimastigales.